Molecule: long non-coding RNA, 303 nt
Filed under: Fukomys damarensis (Damara mole-rat)
Lineage: Eukaryota; Metazoa; Chordata; Mammalia; Rodentia; Bathyergidae
Description: lncRNA (ENSFDAG00000025907.1)
Source: RNAcentral
UUGCAUUUACCAUACUUCCUGAAUGUGUUCUUUGCAAUUAGGGACAUCUGAUGAGCUUGGAGUAUUGCUUGGCUUCCCACAGAUAACACGAAGAUGAGAACACCUCUCCUUGAGGCAGAGGCAGAAUGGCAUUGUCGUCUUGAAAGCCAGUAUCAGGUGGUGAAAUCUUUAUGAAGACACCAUCAGAAUAUUACAGAAAAUCCAGGGAAUAUGGAAGGAUGCAGUGCUGACUUUGUGGUCUCUGCGGCUGAGGGCCAAGUGGGAACUUGAUGUGAUAAAAACAAUGAUAAUGCUAAGCUUAAU